Molecule: ribosomal RNA, 444 nt
Filed under: uncultured bacterium
Lineage: Bacteria
Description: partial 16S ribosomal RNA
Rfam family: Bacterial small subunit ribosomal RNA
Source: RNAcentral
CUACGGGUCGCUGCAGUGGGGAAUAUUGCACAAUGGGCGCAAGCCUGAUGCAGCAACGCCGCGUGGGGGACGACGGCCUUCGGGUUGUAAACCUCUUUUAGUAGGGAAGAAGCGCAAGUGACGGUACCUACAGAAAAAGCACCGGCUAACUACGUGCCAGCAGCCGCGGUAAUACGUAGGGUGCAAGCGUUGUCCGGAAUUAUUGGGCGUAAAGAGCUCGUAGGCGGUUUGUCGCGUCUGCUGUGAAAAUCCGAGGCUCAACCUCGGACCUGCAGUGGGUACGGGCAAACUAGAGUGCGGUAGGGGAGAUUGGAAUUCCUGGUGUAGCGGUGGAAUGCGCAGAUAUCAGGAGGAACACCAAUGGCGAAGGCAGAUCUCUGGGCCGUAACUGACGCUGAGGAGCGAAAGCGUGGGGAGCGAACAGGAUUAGAUACCCGUGUAGUC